UGACCGCUGGCGGCGUGCCUAAUACAUGCAAGUCGAGCGAACAGACGCGGAGCUUGCUCCUCUGACGUUAGCGGCGGACGGGUGAGUAACACGUGGAUAACCUACCUAUAAGACUGGGAUAACUUCGGGAAACCGGAGCUAAUACCGGAUAAUAUAUUGAACCGCAUGGUUCAAUAGUGAAAGACGGUUUUGCUGUCACUUAUAGAUGGAUCCGCGCCGCAUUAGCUAGUUGGUAAGGUAACGGCUUACCAAGGCAACGAUGCGUAGCCGACCUGAGAGGGUGAUCGGCCACACUGGAACUGAGACACGGUCCAGACUCCUACGGGAGGCAGCAGUAGGGAAUCUUCCGCAAUGGGCGAAAGCUUGACGGAGCAACGCCGCGUGAGUGAUGAAGGUCUUCGGAUCGUAAAACUCUGUUAUUAGGGAAGAACAAAUGUGUAAGUAACUAUGCACGUCUUGACGGUACCUAAUCAGAAAGCCACGGCUAACUACGUG
Molecule: ribosomal RNA, 495 nt
Filed under: uncultured bacterium
Lineage: Bacteria
Description: partial 16S ribosomal RNA
Rfam family: Bacterial small subunit ribosomal RNA
Source: RNAcentral